RNAcentral lists this ribosomal RNA (215 nucleotides) under Campeiostachys nutans. RNAcentral's name for it is "Elymus nutans partial small subunit ribosomal RNA". The stretch from base 37 to 215 matches the Rfam family "Eukaryotic small subunit ribosomal RNA", at positions 684 to 864 of the family's 1831-position model. Lineage: Eukaryota; Viridiplantae; Streptophyta; Magnoliopsida; Poales; Poaceae. The record is from RNAcentral.
GGAUUAAUUUAUUGGUCGUGCUAUUGUACGUACUGGUAUUAUUGAUUCCUACCUUCUGACGAACCACGAUGUCAUUAAUUUGGUGUCUUGGGGAAUCAGGACUGUUACUUUGAAAAAAUUUGAGUGUUUAAAGCAGGCUCACGCUUGAAAACAUUAGCAUGGAAUAAUGAAAUAGGACGUUUGAUCCUAUUUUGUUGGUUUCUAGGAUUGACGUA